Magnolia sinica is the source of this 1905-nucleotide long non-coding RNA. RefSeq lists it as uncharacterized. NCBI's taxonomy places the organism in Eukaryota, Viridiplantae, Streptophyta, Magnoliopsida, Magnoliales, Magnoliaceae. The transcript has 3 exons. The record is from RefSeq and is a predicted model, not a curated record.
CCUUCUAAUCUUCAUUUCUCUAGUUUCAUUGCAAUCCAUUUUCAUCUACAAGGACUAAUUUAGCAUCGUACUCUGUUUCUUUCUUCUUAGAUUGUAGAGAUGUUUUGCCUUCGGCACAUUUGGUCAAGAGGGAUCAUCAUUGCACAAUACAUGUCACGUGGGGGUGGUGGGUCCUAUCCAUACUGGUAGCCCUUGGUUGAAAAUUACAUUGAAAAGGACUAGCCAAUCCAAUAAAAAUGGUGGUCUUUGAGUAGAUGAUUAAAACAAAAGUGGAUUCAAUUGGAGAAACCAAUGUCUAGGAUUGUUUGUUCAUAGUGGUUUAAUAGUGGGCAUCUAUGGAAAGGACCCAACUAGAUGGACAGUAUAGAUCCUCCUCCCCUCAUGCUUGGUAUUGUGUGAUAACUGUGUCUUCCUAAUCCAUCGUGGCAAUAUAUAAACAUGGCUGGGAUUGUAUUCAAACUUUUUAUUGCUAGCACAAAACAUUCAAUUAAUGACUUUUGGUCCUUUGCCAGCAGUUCAACCAAACUGCCUAUAAAUUUGACCAUCUGUUUCAUAAUAAUUGUGUGGAUGCCUUAUCACUUUAUUGGGUACCCAGUAUUCCACUGAGCCCAUAGGCAACUGUAUACAUGUUCGUAUGAUCAGGAGAUACAAGCCAUGUCUGAUCCAAGCUCCACCAAGUGGAUGACCAAGCCCUACAAUCAGACUGAUACAGUCAUCAGCUGAGCCAUACAUGUACAUUGAAAGGGGACCCACAAUUAUUUUAAAGCUGUCCACCAGUGCUGUACAUGUUUGGCCCAUCUGAUGAUUUGGCCUGAUAUUUGUACCAUGCGAUGAUCAACAUGAUCCGGCCUGCCUGAUGCACGGGUCAGAUUUCAGUGUUUAUGCGUGUGUGGAGAGGCAUGUGUGAGGCUUAACAAAGAUUUGGGUACCUAACUGCCUGUAAUAGUGGUACUGAUUAGGGGCUCCUGGUCUGGUCUGUUCUGUGCAGGAACUUGGUGGCCAACAACUUUGUCAUUGAUGAUUCUAACAGCAGUAUUUUGCCUCGAGGGUUGAAUUGUCUUCAGCGAAAUUUCCCAUGUAAUCGGGGUUCUCCGCGCUGUAAGCCAUCUUUGUUCUUCUCCUUAUCCUUUUAUAGAUGGAUAUGUAUGAUCAGAUUGUGAUGACGACCACCUACCUGAGGUACCUUUUUUUUUAGUAUGUUCUUGGUUGGCUGCACCAUGUGAUCAUGAUCUGAAGAAUCAUUGUUCAGCUUGUUAGACUAGCGAUGUUGUUCUUUUGGCUUGUGUACUGUUCUGCCUUUUCUUAUUCUUUUGGUUGCCGUUGUAUGAUUGCUUUUUAGUCCUAAUGUAAAUUCAUGCAUUCUGUCUCAUUGAAAUGGAAAAUUACAAAAAUGUGCUUCUCUGAGGGUGCAUUUGGGUUGCACCAAAUAUCAUGAAAUUUGGUGCAACCAACCAAAUACAACCUUAUAAGCCACAGAUGGUACCAAAAAUGUCGGUGUUGGCUGCCAAUGUUGUUGUAAUUGUACUUUUGUUUUUGCUUUCCAGUAAAGAAUCUUUUAUUCAUCAAAAAAUAAAAUAAAAUAAAGGGAUCGGAAAAUCCGUGCAUAAUGAAACUAGCGGGUAUGGUAGAUGCAACGCACGUGGAGAGAUAGAUAGGAGAGAGAGUUCCAAGAGCAAGGGUGCAGGCCACACACACACACACAAGGGUAACAUCAUCGUCAUUGUCAUCAUCUAAACCUUAUCCCAACUAAUUGGGGUUGGCUACAUGAAUUCUUUUCCGCCAUUCCACUCUAUUAGGGGCCGUAACUUCAGUUAGACCAAUCUAUUUUCACUAACUCCAUCCACGCCCUUUUAGGCCUCCCCCUUGCCCUUUUAGAGCCUUUAACUUGUACCAACUCAUUAUUUC